AGUCCUUGGGAGGAACGUUUUCCCCCUUUUCUGGUUUACUAGACCAGGGUAAUGUGCGACGGGAG
RNAcentral lists this transfer RNA (65 nucleotides) under Equus caballus (horse). RNAcentral's name for it is "partial transfer RNA-Thr". Lineage: Eukaryota; Metazoa; Chordata; Mammalia; Perissodactyla; Equidae. The record is from RNAcentral.